Molecule: long non-coding RNA, 641 nt
Filed under: Daucus carota (carrot)
Lineage: Eukaryota; Viridiplantae; Streptophyta; Magnoliopsida; Apiales; Apiaceae
Description: long non-coding RNA (DCAR_LNC006774)
Source: RNAcentral
UCUGUUUUAGAAAGGGAAUUGGAUGAAAAUGUUUUAUGACCGAGGCGCCGGUCCCAAUUGAAUUAUUAAAGGCCAAAGUGUGCCUAGGAUCCUUUAUAUUUGAGAACUCGUAUUGAAUAUGCGGGUUCGGAGCUAUGUCGUGGGCUGAUCACCCAGCUUAGCUCGUAGCGUCUUAUCUGGUUCCAAUUCCAUAAAGGAGAAACUGGUUGGUUUAAAUCAUAUUGUGUUGGUAUCAUUAUCUUUAUAUCAUUGUCAGGUUUUACAUACUGUUUGAUUUAUUGUUGGUUUGGAUAUUAUAUACUUGCUGAGCAUUCUUUUGCUCAUUCUUGCUAUUUCUUCUAACCCCUUUCAGAUAAUGUUAAAGAUGGUUCGCCUAUUUAGGCUAAGCAUAAGAGUAAGGCUAGGCGAGGAUUGCAAGUGACUAAGUUUCAACCUGAUGGUCAGGAAGAGUAUCCAAGAUCGAGUCUUUGGGACUAGUGGUAAUUAGAGUUGUCUAAAUUUGAUUUAGUUGUAAAAACAUGUAAUAGAAUUUAUUAGUUUUAUUUUUCUGAUUUCAAUACUAUAGCCUGUUUGCGAUCCUGUUUUAAAGGGGGUUAAACUUUGUUCUUUUAAAUCUUUUAUUAAAGCUUUCAGGUUUUAAA